UACAGAGGUGGCAAGCGUUGUUCGGAAUUACUGGGCGUAAAGGGCGCGUAGGCGGCUUGGUCAGUCCCGUGUGAAAUCCCUCGGCUCAACUGAGGAACUGCACGGGAAACUGCCUGGCUUGAGUUCGGGAGAGGGAAGCGGAAUUCCGGGUGUAGCGGUGAAAUGCGCAGAUAUCAGGAGGAACACCGGUGGCGAAGGCGGGUCUCUGGGCAGUAACUGACGCUGAGGAGCGAAAGCGUGGGGAGCGAACAGG
This 253-nucleotide ribosomal RNA is filed under the name uncultured bacterium. RNAcentral's name for it is "partial 16S ribosomal RNA". It matches the Rfam family "Bacterial small subunit ribosomal RNA", at positions 524 to 776 of the family's 1533-position model. The record is from RNAcentral.